CCCCCUCCCCCCCCACGGGGGACUUCAGUGCUGGCUGUCGUAAUAACUGAGCAGUUACUGUGACGCAACGGAGGUCGUGGUGGUGAAGUGUGAUGAUGUCAUCAACAUGUGACCGUCGCUGCCCGAGGAACACGGUGAUGACAGGAUGGAUCCUAAUGUACAGAGGUGUAAACAGAGCGGCCGCUCUAAUCCUCCGAGCCUCUCUGCGUGUCUGACUCUGAACAAACUGUGGUGAUGAAUCUGCUGACCUUUGACCCCCCCAAGGAUGGAUGACGCUCAGAGGACCACCGGUUUGGAGCCCAGGAAACUGAGCCGUGCGGCGGGACAGUCAGAAGAGAGUCUCAGUGAACUCCUCAGAGUAAACGAUCUCAUUGGAGAUGAUGGUUCAGUUGAGGAGCGCAAACACAGACGGAGCUGUGAUCAGGUCCACCCCUCACCCAGGGAGGAAACCCUCAACGGGAAAAAAUCUCAAUAGUUAAAGGUCGUAACAUUUGUCUGACCCUUCGUCUAAUCUGUGUUUUUGACUUGUUUACACAACUGGAUGUUAGUGGUUAGUUUUCACUGGAAGGAAAUGCACCUGAUUAACAAACAGCUAUUCUCUUCUCACUCAGCGUCCGAUGACGAACAUUACUGUUCAUGUUGAUUCUAUUGAAACCCAUGUUUUAAA
Long non-coding RNA from Cynoglossus semilaevis (tongue sole), 667 nucleotides. RefSeq lists it as uncharacterized. The transcript has 3 exons. The record is from RefSeq and is a predicted model, not a curated record. Lineage: Eukaryota; Metazoa; Chordata; Actinopteri; Pleuronectiformes; Cynoglossidae.